UAGAGUGGAGCGGUGCUGACCAGACCGGAGGAGUCGUAGCUCUUCUCUGCUUGCAGUCUUCCAGAGUGGAGUAAAGAAUGACUGUUGAACAUCCACAAGGCGCCUGCAAGGUAGCUUGUCGUUUCCCCUUGUUUCCUGAAAUCCUCUUUUCUAUGUCAGGAUAUGACUUGCUUUCCUUUUCUUGAAAAUUCUUGCCUGUCAGGUGACCUGAUCUAUGGAAUUUUUCCUUUGAGAAAUGUGAUUUGCUCCAAAACCCAACCCACACACGUGACUUUCUCUUCCUAAUUUGACAAAUGGUUUAAUUUUUCUUUAUGCCCUCUUAAAAAAAUAUUUCUUUUUUUAUUAUAAAAGUGAAAUUAUCUUAAAUAAUUUCAAAAGUACAGCAAUUCCCAAUGAAGAAAAUUUAAAUUCCCGGUUAAAACCAAUGCUAACUUUUUGAUAAUUUCUUCCCAGUAUGUUUUAUGUACAUAUAUAAAGUGUGAUAUUUAAAAAUUGAUUUUAUUCAGCAUUUACUGUUUUAUAGCCUAUAUUUUCACAUAAAAUUAUAUUUAAGUAUUUCCCCACAUAAUUUAAUAUUGGAAACACUUUUAGAGGUGCAUAAUUAUUUAAAUGCCUAUGUCUUUUCUUUUCUUUCAAAUUAGAUACAGAAAUGGCAUUUAACACCCAUUUGUGCAAAUAAUUAUAAAGAUCGAUGUAAGGAAUACCCAGGCCAAGAAAAAGAAUACAGCCAUCUCUAAAGCAGCCUCUGAUGUACCACUCCACAAUCACAAACAAUUAUGCUCUUCUGGUGAUAACCACUGUGAUCAUUUCUUUGUCUUUCAUUAGAGCUUUGAUAUGAAUUCCAAAACCACAUAGAUUUAGUUUUUGUCUGUUUUCUAUCUUUGUAUGAACAGACAUUCUUUUGUCUUUUUUCAUGAAAAACGUUUGUGAGCUUCAUUCAUAUUUCCUAUAACCACAGUUCAUUUUUUUCCAUUGCUCUCUAUAUACUAUCUUGUAUAAUAGUAUCAAUUUAUUACUUAUCUAUUCUACUCUUCAUGGAUAUUUGACUUGCUUCUAGUUUUUGGCUGCUAUAAGCAAUGUGACUACAAAUGUUUUGUGCACAUAUUUUGGUACACAUGUGCUUGUAUUUCUUUAAUAUAUAUACUAAAGUUGUAAUUAAAUUGUUGAGGGAUAGGGUUUGCGCAUCUUCAAUUUUACUAGACAGUGCUGGACUGUUCUCUAAAUAUACUAUGCAAGU
Non-coding RNA from Kogia breviceps (pygmy sperm whale), 1237 nucleotides. Lineage: Eukaryota; Metazoa; Chordata; Mammalia; Artiodactyla; Physeteridae. The record is from RefSeq and is a predicted model, not a curated record.